Long non-coding RNA from Zonotrichia albicollis (white-throated sparrow), 4741 nucleotides. RefSeq lists it as uncharacterized. The record is from RefSeq and is a predicted model, not a curated record. Lineage: Eukaryota; Metazoa; Chordata; Aves; Passeriformes; Passerellidae.
AAUGCUGCACAGGCCCAAAUAAAGACAACUAUAGACACAUAGCAGAGGUUUCCUGCUUCAAGUAGCUAUUAUAUUAACCUACACUUUAGGCAAAGAGCAUUUUAGGUUUCACACUGAUGAAAACAUAGGAUGAGCAGAAGCAUCAAUAAAAGUUGCACCUUUAAUGAAACAGAUGAAACAGGCCAGCAAAGCUGUGAUCUUCUCCUUUCAAAACCUUGUCACUGCCGUUCAGCAGAAAUCCCACAGGUAUGGGACCAUCCUGCUAGAACAAAAUGCAUGUACUGGAACUCCAGUGCCAUUUUUGCAAAGACUCUGGAUACACUGAAGGCAUUUCUCAGCAUGAUCUGCAAGGGAAAAUAUUGAAGAAGCCAGAAAAAGAGGGAAGCAAAACCACCUCCAAUGCACCAAGUGUUUUUGCAGAAACAGCAGCAUGGCCGAGGUACCUCCAUCCCUUCACUCCGAUGGCAGUCACAUCACAGCUGUCCAUAUGGGGAAAAAAAAGAAUGAAAAGGAAGCAGAUCUCCUGGUUAGAUCCCCCUGGUGAGGCUGCUCUGUGGCUGGGAGAGCCCUGGGGAGAUCCUGUGUCUCCUUUGGAUGAGAAGACAGGAACAGAUGAGCUGGAGGCUGAAUUUUGGAGCCAAACUGAGCAGUGGUGGCUGCAGUGACCCCUCUGAAGGAUACUGAGCUGCAGCAGUACAAUUCCAGCUCUGGGAAGUUUUGUUAAGGAUCCUCAGGUGUCACCUGGUGCUUACUGUCAGAAUCCAAGCCUGCUGCAUUUAUUUCUUUUCCCUGGGAGGACACAAACCCUUGUGCUGCUCCUCAGAUGAGAAGAACGUGGCAGAUCCUUCCUCUCUGCCUGUUUUCAACAGAAAGGCUCGCGUCCCGUUUGUCGUGGUUAAUAGGAUUAGAGCAUCAGCCUUUCUGGAGGAGAUUGAAAUGCAGGGGAACAGUGCUACUGAGGUGUCUUUCUUCUCCUCCUGUGAUGGGCAGAAGGACACACCUCCAAGCAGAGGGGAUUUGUCUGGUGGGAGCAGGCAGAUUAUCUGUAUCUAGUGAAACAAGGUGUGCAUGGCAACCUUUGCCAGGGCUCAGAGCCAGAACCUACACUAUAAAAUAAUUGUGUCACUACCUAACCAAGGCACUCUUCAUGUUUCAUUUAUCUUUUGACUGUAAUUGAAUGGUUGAACAGCAAAAAAAAAAAAAAUGUAGACAAAUUCCAGCUGUAUUGAGAUCUGUUUCUUUCUCUGCUACCAUGGCCCAUCAUUAGAUAGUUUCACUCUCUGUACAGAAGGUCAGAGAGUAUAAAUAUAAAUUGCAUUUUGCAUUACUUCUAGAUGAGUGAAGCUGUCAAAGCAAUAAUAUAAGCUUUCAGUCCCACAUUCUACCACUUCUUUCCCAGUUUUUGGCCAGGAGGUCAUGUGCAAAUUGAACGUGACAGCCCAGACGACAUGUCCAACAGACUUAUAUUGUUAGACAUUUCUGCCAUGGCACUCACCACAAAUUAAACCCACGUCGGACUUGGAGCUCUUCAAGAGCUGCUAACAGUAGCUCAGGCUUCUUGCAAAAAAGUUUAUGUCCACGUCAAGCCUGUGCAAGAAUAACAGCAACUCUUUUGGAGGAUCUUGUCAAAAAAAAUGGAAAACACGAGGGGAAAAAAUUCUGACAGGUAAACCUGAAAGAGCUGAGCACAGUAAUGCAGACUUUAAGUUGUUUGAAAGGUGGGUAAAUCUAUGCUGUAUGUGUGUGCUCUUCACUUCUGUCAAAACUCUCUCCUCCAAUCUAUCAUUAAUAUGUAAUAUUUGGUAUUUAGUGGAUAUUUUUGCUGUCUGCAUUCAAAAGAGGGGGACCAAACUCCUAAUUUUCCACCUUUUUUUAUGCAAGCAAAGUUAACUUUGUGUCUGUUGAUAAAACACUGUGUACAACAGUUAAGAUAUUGUUGAUAACUUAGAAAUAACUGUAUAUUUAUAACAUUGAAAUCGGCAUGGGCAGCUUCCACUAGCAGCUAUUUGAAUCUAAAGUCAAAAUUAAUUUGUGAAAGUAGAUGUUACUGAAUAUUGUCUUUUAUAUUAACUCAGAGCAGAGUUUUCUGCAGAACACCAGAAGGAUUAAAAUUGAGGUUGUUGUCUUUAGCUGGAGUCAAAUCAGGUGUCAAAGUAGCUUUAGAAAGUUCUUUGUGCUGUGUACAAAGAUAAUGCUGAAUGACAGUGAAACAAGAUCGCUCUGGGGACAGAAAACCAGAUUUCCAGCCCUUCACCUUUAGGUGUCUCAAAAUGCAGCACGGGCUCUGAACAACUGAAAAUUCUUAGCAUCUGGCAGUGUCAUGCUAAAGAGCUGGUGGUCUUGGUCCAAAUCUUGGCAGAAAGGAGUUCACAUUAUAAAUUACAUUAUAAAUUACAUUAUCUGGCAAAUCUUUGCAGCAUACUGAGCAGAGGGGCCAAGAGCUCACUUGACACAGAACCUCCUGCUUCCCUUCAUGGCAGAAAUGUUCUCCCUAGAUAAGGGCUGAGCACGGAUCAAGAAAAGUCCCUGCCAUUCUUGCUUUACCAGCUUCCCAUGAAUGAACAAAGAACUUCAUUUUCAAGGACUACCAGGGCUUUCUCUCUCCAUUUUUUAUUAUUUUUUUCAGAAGGACUAAACUUAGAGGGAAGAGUUUGAGCCCCAUCUGGUACAAAUCGGUAGGGGCUUUGCAGGCUUCAGUAGAGCUACACUGAUUUACACCAGAUGAUGCUAUUAGAGGACUGAACUAUCCAACAAUAAUUAUAAAAAAAAAAUGCCUUUGAUUAUGCAUGUGCAACAACUAUUUAUGUUUACAUUGCAGAGAUUUGCAUGUAGCACAGUGGGGAGUAUUUUAUCUCUUGAAAACAUUGCACCAGCAGAAAUAAUCCACUGACAUUCAAAUGAGCAAAGAAAUACCCGUGUUUUACCACAAGAUGGACCAUAAAGGAUGUUCUUCAUGUGUCUUUUUCGAGCAGAUUUGUCAAUAAUCCUCAACUGCGAAGUUUAUUCUAAAGAAAGAAAGAUGGGACAAAAAGAAAAAGGUAAAAGUCAUGUUCUGUUCCAUGUGGUUGCAUUACAGAUUGCUCUGAACUCUGGGUCUCGGUGCAGCCAGGUGAUCCUGCACUUGGGAAAGAGGAUGGAGGAACCAGGUGAGAGAAGGACAUCAAAAAUGCCCCACAAAAGUCAGCACCAUACCUCACUGGCAGCAUUCAAAGCAGAUUUUCAAAGAAUUUCAACCAGUUCAAAUCCAGAGUGAAUUGGACACAAACCUAUCAAAGGCAGAGAUGGAGAUAAUCAUGUGAAAACUGGGAGAUUCUGCUGAAGCACCAGCCUGGAACAGCACAACAGAAAUUACCAUUGGGGUAAUUACACUGACAUUUAAGCUUUCAAAACAGAAAAUGCUUAAAAUAUGCAGUAAUAUGUUGUAUCUUUGACUCACAAGAGGAAAGGGAGAUGAAAGCACAGGUAAUAUUCCUUUGAUGUUUGAACUACAUACUCAGGUCUCCUGCCUUGACUUCUGGGGUUUUUUUAUUUGCUAAUUGUGCUUUGGUAGUGCUUCGAAGGCAUUAAAUUCCUCAAAUUAAGGCACGUUGCCCUACUCCAGAUAUAGCUUUCCUCUUGAGAGCCAGGGAGAAGAGUGUUGCUGGCAUUUUAAGUUCAAAUGCCCAGCAGAGAAUUGGAAGAUCCACAGACAUCAUUUCCAUGACCCUUUUUCACCUUUGCAUCUUCCUGAUGAGGAAAACCAGGAGAUUCUCCCUUCAUACCCAGAAGAAGUAAAUUUUAUCCCACAUGGGAGAUUGCAGAGCACUGAACUCACCUGGAUGGUUUGGCAAAGACUCCAUUCUCUUGUCCUAAAAACACAUUGCCUCAGUUUCCCUGUCAAAUGGAUGUGAUAAUGAUGAUCUGCCUCUUGGGAGCACUGUGAACAGCAAUUUCUGGUUUUAUUAGCUCUUCCAAGAUGAAAUAUGUCACAUAAAUGGUCAGAGUUAUUAAACUGGGCUUAAUUAGCAAGGGCUUGAUAGGAAUUUCUAUCAUAAAAAGGUGUCUUUGAACACAUGAAGGAGUUGGUGGAGUUGAUCCUGGCCCAAGGCUUCCCUUCUGUGUGGCAGAGCAGCACAAGGAUGGCAAAAGGGAAACCAUCCCACCCAUCCCACUGCAUCCCUAAAUGAGAGCCUAAGAGGAGAAUACAAAGUGUAUGCCCAGGAUCAGUGUGAGACAGAAAUCCCAAUUAAUUUCUGAAGUAAAUACGGUGAAAAUGAGCUUCCCAAGAAUCCUGACUGCUCAAAACAAAGUGAGAAUUAAAAAACCAGACCCAAGUUCUAGCAGAGGAAAUGUGACAAGGGGAACACAGGCUUACUUGGGAGCUUUGGAGCACCAGUCAGAUGGGAUAAAUCUACUUUUGUAUCUCUGUGGGUUUAGUUUUCUCUAAAAGCAGAGCUCUAUUUUGAUGGCUGGUUUGAGGGAAAACUAAGCUACUGUCAUUAAAACCCAAACUGUAAUCCUAGCAAAUUAGCCAAACCUCCAGGCACUCUGCUCACCAGAAUUUCCUUACCAGAGGAAUCUGUCACUUUGUCACUACAGAAUGAGGCCAAAUUUUCAAAGAUGUCUCUGCAGUGAGACUCACAGGUCUGGUGCUGAGCCAUCAGGAGAUUUGCAUGCACAGUUUGGGUUUCCAAUAUGACAAUACGAAGUUUAACUCCAAACACAACUGUGUUGCACGAGUUGCAUUAAAAAAAAAAAAAAA